AUGACGAGUGGCGGACGGGUGAGUAAUGCUUGGGAACUUGCCUUUGCGAGGGGGAUAACAGUUGGAAACGACUGCUAAUACCGCAUAAUGUCUUCGGACCAAACGGGGCUUCGGCUCCGGCGCAAAGAGAGGCCCAAGUGAGAUUAGCUAGUUGGUAAGGUAACGGCUUACCAAGGCGACGAUCUCUAGCUGUUCUGAGAGGAAGAUCAGCCACACUGGGACUGAGACACGGCCCAGACUCCUACGGGAGGCAGCAGUGGGGAAUAUUGCACAAUGGGGGAAACCCUGAUGCAGCCAUGCCGCGUGUGUGAAGAAGGCCUUCGGGUUGUAAAGCACUUUCAGUUGUGAGGAAAAGUUAGUAGUUAAUACCUGCUAGCCGUGACGUUAACAACAGAAGAAGCACCGGCUAACUCCGUGCCAGCAGCCGCGGUAAUACGGAGGGUGCGAGCGUUAAUCGGAAUUACUGGGCGUAAAGCGCACGCAGGCGGUUUGUUAAGCUAGAUGUGAAAGCCCCGGGCUCAACCUGGGAUGGUCAUUUAGAACUGGCAGACUAGAGUCUUGGAGAGGGGAGUGGAAUUCCAGGUGUAGCGGUGAAAUGCGUAGAUAUCUGGAGGAACAUCAGUGGCGAAGGCGACUCCCUGGCCAAAGACUGACGCUCAUGUGCGAAAGUGUGGGUAGCGAACAGGAUUAGAUACCCUGGUAGUCCACACCGUAAACGCUGUCUACUAGCUGUGUGUGUCUUUAAGACGUGCGUAGCGAAGCUAACGCGCUAAGUAGACCGCCUGGGGGGAGUACGGCCGCAAGGUUAAAAACUCAAAUGAAUUGACGGGGGCCCGCCA
RNAcentral lists this ribosomal RNA (839 nucleotides) under Alteromonas macleodii. RNAcentral describes it as "bacterial SSU rRNA". It matches the Rfam family "Bacterial small subunit ribosomal RNA", at positions 88 to 926 of the family's 1533-position model. Lineage: Bacteria; Pseudomonadati; Pseudomonadota; Gammaproteobacteria; Alteromonadales; Alteromonadaceae. The record is from RNAcentral.